GCGCGUAAUAUGAAGUGGACAAGAAUUCUUCUAGGUAAUUAUAUGCCUUGAUUACUUGUGCUCCCGUGAUCACAUUUAAGACUUUGCAAAUUGAAAAUCUAAUGAUGAUUACGAUUAGACGGAGACUUUAUUGUAAUGAACGGAAAAUGCUUUAAAUGAAAAAUGGUUGACAAUGUUUUGUGCCGUCAUGCUUUUGCUAAAAGACGUUUUAUGUCCUAAUUUAAUAAGAGGAAUUGGAAACCUUUGCUAAAAUCGCUACUGUUUUCAGUUUCAUCUAUUAUGGGAGAAAUACUCUGUGAACAUACAUAGUAAACGUACAUUAAAACAACAAAGUUAUUGGAACUCCAGUGCGAUAUAUGGGCGGCCGGGGGGCGAUACGCCGAAUACAGCUAAGAAAUGCAAGCAAGAAACCAAGGCACCGUUCGACACAUGUGGUUUAUUCAAGAGACUACCCAAGAAUUAUUAAGGAGGCGAACUCAAUCAUCAAAAGU
Long non-coding RNA from Glossina fuscipes, 491 nucleotides. RefSeq lists it as uncharacterized. The transcript has 3 exons. Lineage: Eukaryota; Metazoa; Arthropoda; Insecta; Diptera; Glossinidae. The record is from RefSeq and is a predicted model, not a curated record.